CCUACGGGAGGCAGCAGUGGGGGAUAUUGCACAAUGGGGGAAACCCUGAUGCAGCGACGCCGCGUGGGUGAAGGAGCGUUUCGACGCGUAAAGCCCUAUCGGCAGGGAAGAAGGAGGACGGUACCUGACUAAGAAGCCCCGGCUAACUACGUGCCAGCAGCCGCGGUAAUACGUAGGGGGCAAGCGUUAUCCGGAUUUACUGGGUGGAAAGGGGGGGCAGAUGGCAGCGCAAGCCAGGAGUGAAAGCCCGGGGCCCAACCCCGGGACUGCUCUUGGAACUGCGCGGCUGGAGUGCAGGAGGGGCAGGCGGAAUUCCUGGUGUAGCGGUGAAAUGCGUAGAUAUCAGGAGGAACACCGGUGGCGAAGGCGGCCUGCUGGACUGCGACUGACGGUGAGGCCCGAAAGCGUGGGGAGCAAACAGGAUUAGAUACCCGUGUAGUC
Molecule: ribosomal RNA, 441 nt
Filed under: uncultured bacterium
Lineage: Bacteria
Description: partial 16S ribosomal RNA
Rfam family: Bacterial small subunit ribosomal RNA
Source: RNAcentral